GCCGGUGUGGCUCAAUGGGUAGAGCCCCAGCCUGCAGACUGAAGGGUCAUGGGUUCGAUUCCCGUCAAGGGCU
RNAcentral lists this transfer RNA (73 nucleotides) under Myotis brandtii (Brandt's bat). It matches the Rfam family "tRNA". From Rfam's summary of the family: Transfer RNA (tRNA) molecules are approximately 80 nucleotides in length. Their secondary structure includes four short double-helical elements and three loops (D, anti-codon, and T loops). Lineage: Eukaryota; Metazoa; Chordata; Mammalia; Chiroptera; Vespertilionidae. The record is from Rfam by way of RNAcentral.